RNAcentral lists this ribosomal RNA (497 nucleotides) under uncultured bacterium. Its description in RNAcentral is "partial 16S ribosomal RNA". It matches the Rfam family "Bacterial small subunit ribosomal RNA", at positions 28 to 507 of the family's 1533-position model. The record is from RNAcentral.
GAUGGACGCUGGCGGCGUGCCUAAUACAUGCAAGUCGAGCGAACGGACGAGAAGCUUGCUUCUCUGAUGUUAGCGGCGGACGGGUGAGUAACACGUGGAUAACCUACCUAUAAGACUGGGAUAACUUCGGGAAACCGGAGCUAAUACCGGAUGAUAUUUUGAACCGCAUGGUUCAAAAGUGAAAGACGGUCUUGCUGUCACUUAUAGAUGGAUCCGCGCUGCAUUAGCUAGUUGGUAAGGUAACGGCUUACCAAGGCAACGAUGCAUAGCCGACCUGAGAGGGUGAUCGGCCACACUGGAACUGAGACACGGUCCAGACUCCUACGGGAGGCAGCAGUUGGGAAUCUUCCGCAAUGGGCGAAAGCCUGACGGAGCAACGCCGCGUGAGUGAUGAAGGUCUUCGGAUCGUAAAACUCUGUUAUUAGGGAAGAACAUAUGUGUAAGUAACUGUGCACAUCUUGACGGUACCUAAUCAGAAAGCCACGGCUAACUACGUG